AGGUAAUAUUCUAUAGAAACCUAUAUCCUUUGACGGCCUUUUUUCUAAUCAAAGGAACUUGUUAUUUAACCGAAACUACCCGUUCAUUUUCACUUACUUUCAGUUUUUAUACCGUCGUCUAAAGGAGACAUUAAUUUAUGAAUCCAAAAUAGGCCAAUCAUUCAAGACAGAUCAAGGUGAAGCAUACGAGUUAGAUCAUAAUGAGUUAUCUAUAAAUACUAUUUAAAGAUCAUAUUUUAAAAAUUUUGUGAAUUAAGAUUUGAAAGUACUUGAUGGAAUAAUAUUCUACAAGGCAGAAGUAAAUUAAGGUGU
Molecule: ribosomal RNA, 312 nt
Filed under: Aname tepperi
Lineage: Eukaryota; Metazoa; Arthropoda; Arachnida; Araneae; Anamidae
Description: partial 12S ribosomal RNA
Source: RNAcentral